This 38-nucleotide ribosomal RNA is filed under the name Polylepis lanuginosa. RNAcentral's name for it is "partial 26S ribosomal RNA". The record is from RNAcentral. Lineage: Eukaryota; Viridiplantae; Streptophyta; Magnoliopsida; Rosales; Rosaceae.
CGCUAUCUCAGGUCAAGCGGGUUACCUGCUGAAUUUAA